Ruditapes philippinarum (Manila clam) is the source of this 250-nucleotide long non-coding RNA. RefSeq lists it as uncharacterized. Lineage: Eukaryota; Metazoa; Mollusca; Bivalvia; Venerida; Veneridae. The record is from RefSeq and is a predicted model, not a curated record. The transcript is spliced from 3 exons.
GUCCAGGCUAUUCUCCAUAUUUGCUUUUGACUUAAUUACCGCUAUAUCAGCCAAGUGGGACUCUGUGUUGUUUUAUUCUCGUGAAAUAUUGUGAUGGAAAGAAAACAGUAAAAUAUGUUAUAGAAUGCUGAAUGCUUACUGCACUAGAUAAAAGUUUGACUAUAAACGGCCGUGCACCUCCUGAAAAAAAUUGAAAUGGCGGAUGAGAUUGUAAAAUAUGUACAAGAAAUACAGAUAUCCCAGAGGUUUA